Molecule: ribosomal RNA, 253 nt
Filed under: uncultured bacterium
Lineage: Bacteria
Description: partial 16S ribosomal RNA
Rfam family: Bacterial small subunit ribosomal RNA
Source: RNAcentral
UACGUAGGGUGCAAGCGUUGUCCGGAAUUAUUGGGCGUAAAGCGCGUGUAGGCGGCUUUGCAAGUCGGGUGUGAAAUCCCUCAGCUCAACUGAGGAAGUGCGCCUGAAACUGCAGAGCUUGAGUACCGGAGAGGAUGGCGGAAUUCCCCAAGUAGAGGUGAAAUUCGUAGAUAUGGGGAGGAACACCGGUGGCGAAGGCGGCCAUCUGGACGGAUACUGACGCUGAGACGCGAAAGCGUGGGGAGCAAACAGG